UACGUAGGUGGCAAGCGUUGUCCGGAUUUACUGGGCGUAAAGGGAGCGUAGGCGGAUUUUUAAGUGGGAUGUGAAAUACCCGGGCUUAACCUGGGUGCUGCAUUCCAAACUGGAAGUCUAGAGUACAGGAGGGGAAAGUGGAAUUCCUAGUGUAGCGGUGAAAUGCGUAGAGAUUAGGAAGAACACCGGUGGCGAAGGCGACUUUCUGGACUGUAACUGACGCUGAGGCUCGAAAGCGUGGGGAGCAAACAGG
Molecule: ribosomal RNA, 253 nt
Filed under: uncultured microorganism
Description: partial small subunit ribosomal RNA
Rfam family: Bacterial small subunit ribosomal RNA
Source: RNAcentral